Helicoverpa zea (corn earworm) is the source of this 799-nucleotide long non-coding RNA. RefSeq lists it as uncharacterized. NCBI's taxonomy places the organism in Eukaryota, Metazoa, Arthropoda, Insecta, Lepidoptera, Noctuidae. The record is from RefSeq and is a predicted model, not a curated record. The transcript is spliced from 2 exons.
AGCGUGAGUUAAGGCCUGGGGCCUGCUCAGAUGUAAGCCUGCGGUACCUAUGGUAUUCGGUGCCGCCGAGGGUCGGGCUACAUGCUGCAUGCAUGACCUAAGCCGAAUCGCUGUUGUUUUGGUAUUGUGGUGUUUUACGAGUAUGCUUAUCUGCUACCACAGAAAACCACCCCGGUUAAAGUAAUGAUUAAGUAAUAGGUAGGUACCGCUCGUUUUCCUCCACCGUCACGACCGCUGCAGCUGAACAGAGAAGAGAUGAAGAGGCUAGGGAUUGACUCAAGGAAUUUCAUUCAUUGCUUCUGGUAGGUAAUUCAUAACACGAAGUACAUGUCAACUGUGUUGAGUGUGUUUGUGAUCAUGUCAUCAUUGUUCGGCGCACACGCAGGAAUGUGUGCGAGCUAUCAGUUCAGAUCGCUUCGAUAGUUUGCCAAACACACGCUAUUCGUAAAUCGCAGGCAGCGACCAUGGUAAUUUAAUGACGUUAAGUAUGUUGUUUCUAACUAGUAAGCAUACAUGAAGUGCAAUAAUAACAUGAAGUGUGCUGACUACUGUUCCUGUGCUCAAACCGACCGAUGACCGGACCAUGGCAAACCUUCAGUGAGGAGUCAGCCGACGCGGGCGCGAUGACGUCACCGGCGCCGCGCUGUCUAGCGGCGCCGCGACAGAGACGGCGCUAGCGCGGGGCAUACACACGGCAACUCGCUAGAGCGAGACGGAGACGGUGAUGGCGUGUCCUUGGGAAGUGUUGCAGCGACUACAGCGAUGUAGUUGUUUAUUAAAUAAACUCUAUUCCUCCUCA